UUCUCUUCUACAAUGGAAACUCCAGUCAACAAGGCAAGCAGGAGCCUGAUAGCCAGAGCGUGAAAUGGGGCCCUUUUCAAGUAGGCUCUGGGGUUUUUCCCUGGUACGCUUUGCUCUAGCCAGGAGUUGGCAGGAUAGCCCCUGUCCCUCUGCAGCACGUGCAUCAAUGGCAGCCUAAACGGGACUUUGGAUGUCCAAGUCCCAUCUCCGUUGCCACUGCUAACCCUGGAAGGCAACUUCUUGCUGGUAGUUGAAAGUGCUGCCAGCGGUUGUCCUCUCUGGGUAGCGGGCUGCAGCUGGUCCAGGCUUGUGCAGGAGACAAGCUUCCCACGCUGCCUCUCGACUCGUGGUAGAGCAAGAAUGCAUCAGCCAAAAAUCUUGCCUGAUUUCGCCAGGAGAUUGCUGGUGUCUAAAGCCGUCCACCCGAAUAUUCAUUUGGCUGGCAGUCAGCAAAAUGCCAGUUAAUCUUGGGAAUGGUUUUUCUUUUUUUUUUUUUUUUUUUUUUUUUUUUAUUCUGAAGUGGGUCAAUAAAUCUCUUGCCAGAUUCCCAGUUCUCUGCUGGUGGAGGGGCUUGUUGCUUCCCUGAGGAGUGAAUUCCUUACAGAAAUCGGGCCUCCCACAUUAGUAGUCUCAGUUUUGGUCAUGUUUUUCUAUUUUUUUUUCUGUUCACAGUAUUUUGUGUGUACGCGCGUGUUGUAGUUUUGGCAGCUUGAUUUGGCUGCAUUAUCAAGUGACGAAAUAAUCCUCUUUUACCCCAGGGGAUAUGAUUUGGUUUUGGUUUUUUCUUUUUUUUUUUUUUUUUUUUUUUCCAAUAUGAUAAAUCCUGCUUGUAAAUAGCUGGAGCUAAAACCUGGGGCUGAUAGCAAAUGAGAACCAGGGCUGUAGAGCGAUACGGAGCUGGUGGAGUAUUUUACUGACCUCACAGGCUGAUCUACUUGAGACUUGGAGAUUUUCAGUGCAAGGCUGAGAUGCCGCAGCACCUCCAAUGGCAGCGACGGACUUGCCCCUUCACGCGGUCUCCCCAGCACCUCCCAUUGCCAGGUACCACUGGGGAACAGGACAUGUCCCGAGUGGGAUGCGUUCCCUUCCCCUGGAUCAUUUCCUAGGACGCCCGAGCCGCUUGCCCAGGGUCCCAUUUCCCUGCUGACUCUGGAGAAGCAGUAUCUGCAUCCCAGGGCUUCGUGACAGCCUCUAACUUCCCGCCCUCCCUCGUUAAGUAUCAUAUUGUAUAGUAGCUUUCAGACCAUACAGUAUUCAUUGGGUUAUUCCUAUUAUUAUCAAGUAGCUGGAAUUGUGAAGGUCGGAGUAGUUAGAUCUUUAGCUUUUAUUCCUUUUUUUUGUAUUACUAUCCAUGUGUAUAAAUUAUUGAUCAUGUUGCUGGCUUUUAUAAACUCUAAGCAAGGGGGGAAACCCUUCCUAACCCUUUGCAAAUGGUAAUGAAGCACUGUUUUUAAAUAAAAGAGAGAAACACCAG
Aptenodytes forsteri (emperor penguin) is the source of this 1474-nucleotide long non-coding RNA. RefSeq lists it as uncharacterized. The record is from RefSeq and is a predicted model, not a curated record. Lineage: Eukaryota; Metazoa; Chordata; Aves; Sphenisciformes; Spheniscidae. The transcript is spliced from 2 exons.